ACAUCCAAGGAAGGCAGCAGGCGCGCAAAUUACCCAAUCCCGACACGGGGAGGUAGUGACAAUAAAUACUGAUGCAGGGCUCUUUUGGGUCUUGUAAUUGGAAUGAGUACAAUUUAAAUCCCUUAACGAGGAACAAUUGGAGGGCAAGUCUGGUGCCAGCAGCCGCGGUAAUUCCAGCUCCAAUAGCGUAUAUUAAAGUUGUUGCAGUUAAAAAGCUCGUAGUUGAACCUUGGGCCUGGCUGGCCGGUCCGCCUCACCGCGUGUACUGGUCCGGCCGGGCCUUUCCUUCUGGGGAACCUCAUGCCCUUCACUGGGCGUGUUGGGGAACCAGGACUUUUACUUUGAAAAAAUUAGAGUGUUCAAAGCAGGCCUUUGCUCGAAUACAUUAGCAUGGAAUAAUAGAAUAGGACGUGUGGUUCUAUUUUGUUGGUUUCUAGGACGCCGUAAUGAUUAAUAGGGAUAGUCGGGGGCAUCAGUAUUCAAUCGUCAGAGGUGAAAUUCUUGGAUUGAUUGAAGACUAACUACUGCGAAAGCAUUUGCCAAGGAUGUUUUCAUUAAUCAGUGAACGAAAGUUAGGGGAUCGAAGACGAUCAGAUACC
This 599-nucleotide ribosomal RNA is filed under the name fungal sp. RNAcentral's name for it is "SSU rRNA". It matches the Rfam family "Eukaryotic small subunit ribosomal RNA", at positions 412 to 1016 of the family's 1831-position model. The record is from RNAcentral. Lineage: Eukaryota; Fungi.